AGGCAAAACCAGUGAAAACUGGCGACGCAAAGUUAUGGGUCUAAAGCUCCAAUUAUUUAUAAUGGGAGCCAUGAUUGCCAGAUUACCGAA
Molecule: non-coding RNA, 90 nt
Filed under: Chloroflexota bacterium
Lineage: Bacteria; Bacillati; Chloroflexota
Description: Chloroflexi bacterium c-di-GMP sequence
Rfam family: c-di-GMP-I riboswitch aptamer
About the family: GEMM was predicted in a large-scale screen for bacterial structured RNA regulatory elements.
Source: RNAcentral